UGAGGAAUAUUGGUCAAUGGGCGGGAGCCUGAACCAGCCAAGUCGCGUGAGGGAAGACGGCCCUAUGGGUUGUAAACCUCUUUUGUCAGGGAACAAAAGGCGCCACGCGUGGCGCUCCGAGUGUACCUGAAGAAAAAGCAUCGGCUAACUCCGUGCCAGCAGCCGCGGUAAUACGGAGGAUGCGAGCGUUAUCCGGAUUUAUUGGGUUUAAAGGGUGCGUAGGCGGUCUGUUAAGUCAGCGGUAAAAUUGCGGGGCUCAACCUCGCCGAGCCGUUGAAACUGGUAGACUCGAGUGGGCGAGAAGUACGCGGAAUGCGUGGUGUAGCGGUGAAAUGCAUAGAUAUCACGCAGAACUCCGAUUGCGAAGGCAGCGUACCGGCGCCCAACUGACGCUGAAGCACGAAGGCGUGGGUAUCGAACAGGAUUAGAUACC
Molecule: ribosomal RNA, 433 nt
Filed under: uncultured bacterium
Lineage: Bacteria
Description: bacterial SSU rRNA
Rfam family: Bacterial small subunit ribosomal RNA
Source: RNAcentral